Molecule: small nuclear RNA, 158 nt
Filed under: Triticum aestivum (bread wheat)
Lineage: Eukaryota; Viridiplantae; Streptophyta; Magnoliopsida; Poales; Poaceae
Description: snRNA U2
Rfam family: U2 spliceosomal RNA
About the family: U2 is a small nuclear RNA (snRNA) component of the spliceosome (involved in pre-mRNA splicing). Complementary binding between U2 snRNA (in an area lying towards the 5' end but 3' to hairpin I) and the branchpoint sequence (BPS) of the intron results the bulging out of an unpaired adenosine, on the BPS, which initiates a nucleophilic attack at the intronic 5' splice site, thus starting the first of two transesterification reactions that mediate splicing.
Source: Rfam by way of RNAcentral
AUACCUUUCUCGGCCUUUUGGCUAAGAUCAAAUGUAGUAUCUGUUCUUAUCAGUUUAAUAUCUGCUAUGUGGGUCAUGUGCCCACAAUGAUAUUAAAUUUAUUUUUGAAAAAUGUAUUUGGCAACCCUGUGACAGUUUGCAAAACUGCCACACCAGCU